RNAcentral lists this ribosomal RNA (1138 nucleotides) under Alexandrium catenella. Its description in RNAcentral is "partial large subunit ribosomal RNA". It matches the Rfam family "Eukaryotic large subunit ribosomal RNA", at positions 79 to 1176 of the family's 3401-position model. The record is from RNAcentral. Lineage: Eukaryota; Dinophyceae; Gonyaulacales; Pyrocystaceae.
UUUAGUAAUUGCGAAUGAACAAGGAUAUGCUUAGCUUGACAAAUGGAGCUAUUGGCUUUGAAUUGUAUUGUGGAAAUGUAUUACCAACAGAGGUGCAGGUGCCAGCCUAUUGAAAUAAAGCGUCAAUGAGGGUGAGAAUCCUGUUUGUCAUGUGCAGCCCUUUGUGCACGGUGUAUAUUUGCUGAGUCACACUCCUUGGCAUUGGAAUGCAAAGUGGGUGGUAAGUUUCAUGUAAAGGUAAACAUGCAAUUGAGACUGAUAGCACACAAGUACCAUGAGGGAAAUAUGAAAAGGACUUUGAAAAGAGAAUUAAAUGAGUUUGUAUUUGCUGAACACAAAGUAAACAGACUUGAUUUGCUUGGUGGGAGUGUUGCACUUGCUUGACAAGAGCUUUGGGCUGUGGGUGUAAUGAUUCUUUCUUUGCAUGCCAGUUUCUAUUUGUACAUCUGAUUACCUUUGCACAUGAAUGAUAAGUCUCCUGUGGGGGGUGGAUUGCAUGUGCAUGUAAUGAUUUGUGUUUUGAUAAAUGUGUCUGGUGUAUGUGUGUGUUCCUGUGCUUGGGGAUGCUUCCUUCCUUGGACUUACAAGCCCUGACACACACAUGCUGGCAAAAUGCUUCUGCUUGACCCGUCUUGAAACACGGACCAAGGAGUCUAACAGAUGUGCAAAGUUUGAAGGUGGUAUACCUUUGUGUGCAAUGAAAGUGUCAGCUGGGAUAUGUGCACCAGCACCCAAUUAAUUAGCGGACAGAGGUUUGAGUUGGAGCAUAUCUAUUAGGACCCGAAAGAUGGUGAACUAUGCCUGAACAGAAUGAAUUCAGAGGAAACUCUGAUGGAGGUUCGUAUCGAUACUGACGUGCAAAUCGUUCGUCAUAUUUGGGUAUAGGGGCGAAAGACUAAUCGAACCAUCUAGUAGCUGGUUCCCUCCGAAGUUUCCCUCAGGAUAGCUGGAGUUGCUCAGUUUUAUCAGGUAAAGCGAAUGAUUAGAGGAAUUGGGGACAGGUUUGUCUUUGACCUAUUCUCAAACUUUAAAUGGGUAAUAUGUAGUGGUUGCUGUAUGGAACUUCUAAGAUAAAUGGCAAUAUUGGGUGGGCCAUUUUUGGUAAGCAGAACUGGCGAUGAGGGAUGAACCUAAUGUG